Long non-coding RNA from Phyllopteryx taeniolatus (common seadragon), 593 nucleotides. RefSeq lists it as uncharacterized. Lineage: Eukaryota; Metazoa; Chordata; Actinopteri; Syngnathiformes; Syngnathidae. The transcript has 3 exons. The record is from RefSeq and is a predicted model, not a curated record.
CUAGCACCACGAGCAAGCGGGCCGCUGUCUCCGCCCGCCCACUAGCACAGCACAAGGACGCACACACAACACGUGGCAUCCACAGCACUGUGAGCAGAAGAAGAGAAGCGCCAUGUGGUUAUAGUUGCAGGUUGAAAAUGACACAUUGGCAAGCUGCACUAUUUGCAAAAAGGCUGUAUGGUACGGUGGCAACACAACAAUUUGAUGCAAACACAUGAAAACCCACGCCAAAGAAAACAAUGACCUGCAGAAACGGAGAGAGUGAAAUCAGCCACCCCAUGGCUCCGCUGCCAGACCCCCAAUUCAGAUGCAGAGGUCAUUGGCAGAAGCUUUUCAGCAUGCCAGAGAAUAUCUAGGUGUGGAUAAUAGCGUUGGAGGUGAAGUGUCGGCUCUGCUCCACAGAGCUAUCUUACAUCAAUAAGAGCACUUCAUCAAUGCUGAGGCAUUAUAGAGCUCAGCAUGGCAAUGAAGAAUUGGCAGAUACUCGUGUGAAUUCCCCAGUUCCUAGCAAGCAAGCAGUGGAUGAGGCUGGGGUCAACAUGACCAUCAAAGACUGUCAGCCACUCACCAUUGUUGAAAAUAAAGGAUUCAGG